Non-coding RNA from Acanthosepion pharaonis, 107 nucleotides. NCBI's taxonomy places the organism in Eukaryota, Metazoa, Mollusca, Cephalopoda, Sepiida, Sepiidae. The record is from the annotation of a GenBank genome assembly.
CCACAUUAUGUUGAAACACCAGUUCCCAUACAAUCACCAAAGUUAAGAUACGUUGAGCUUGAUCAGUACUUAGAUGGGUGGCCAUUUGGGAAUACCAGAUACUGUAA